GUCCGCCGGUGUUAGUGUGAGUGGCGGCAAGGAUUCCGACAAAGCAGGUGACGCGCAGGAGGAGAACGCAAUUAAGGUGCAACACGAUACCCACAGACACUACGAGGAUGGAGACAGCCUGAAGUUACUCGUCAGCCUUGAGACCCUGAAGCAAAUAUUUUUCAAAUCCAAGAAUAUGAAGAUAUCAUUUGAGACGGCGAAGGCGAAGGCGCACCGGGACCUGUAGACACCCCAGAUUGAAGUACACGCCACAGCAAAACUUGACGAUUCCUUGGAUCAGCCAGUGAAGAGCGUGAAAAUGCCCAAGGAAAAGGUGGAACAUCAGCGAAUAACGGACGAGCGGCAAGAAGUGAAGCAGACCAACAUGUGCAGCGCCACACAGCCAUCGACUUCGCACUCUUCAGGGUUUCGUCCCCCUUCCUGGUGAUGAUGGCGACCUCCUUAUAUGGAUCAGUUUCCCUUGUUCAUUUCCCUAUUUGGCUGCACCAGAGGCGAUACAUCACAGAGAUUGGCAAGAAACAGGAUCUUUCACCUUACUGUGUGUGUGUGUGUGUGUGUGUGUGUGUGUGUGUGUGUGUGUGUGUGUGUGUGUGUGUGUGUGUGUGUGUGUGUUUUCCCUCAGCACCCGAGGCUCCUUCAUCUCCGACACGCCUUAA
Portunus trituberculatus (swimming crab) is the source of this 656-nucleotide long non-coding RNA. RefSeq lists it as uncharacterized. NCBI's taxonomy places the organism in Eukaryota, Metazoa, Arthropoda, Malacostraca, Decapoda, Portunidae. The record is from RefSeq and is a predicted model, not a curated record. The transcript is spliced from 4 exons.